Molecule: long non-coding RNA, 1268 nt
Organism: Apis florea (little honeybee)
Lineage: Eukaryota; Metazoa; Arthropoda; Insecta; Hymenoptera; Apidae
Gene: AP-2alpha
Source: RefSeq, a predicted model, not a curated record
AUUCUGGAGCACACGAUAAUUCGAAUAUAUUUCCGAAUUCUUCUUCGAAUUUUUUUUAUCAAAUCCUUUAUAGCAUAGAAAUUAAGAUAUUUUUUUAAAGCUUUUUUUAGCUUAGCAUUCGAAGCAGCAUUUAAACAUCGUGCCAAAAAAAAUCGAAAAACAAAAGAAAGAAGAAAAAUCAUAGUUCUUCUUCGAUUUUGAAAGUAUAAAAAUUUCUACGGGGUCCACAUUAUGUCAAUGAAAAAGAAAUUAUACAACUGUUUAGAGAACGUUAUAAAUUGCUCGACAAUGUUUCAGUGAAUUGUGUUCGCGAAUUAUCUUUAAUGCCUUUAAGAACGUCCUGAGUCCUGGAAUAUAUUCCAUGUUACAAUGUGUUGUCAAUAGCAAUAGAAUUGAUUCAAUUCUCGUUUUUGAUACUUUUUAUGUAACAAUUGUUCGAUAAUAUCAAGUAUGGAUCACAAGAAAACAAAAGCGAAAUUUGACACAAAGAAAUAUUUGUUAUGUUUAAUAUUUUAAAAAAUAGAUAACAGCGCAUGAGAAUGUUUCACAUCAAGUAUGAAACAUAAAUUUAUGGAAUAUAAUCAACACUAUUAUCGAUGUAACGAUUUUUAAUCACAUGAACAAAUUUAUUUGCGUGAUAACUAAAUUUUUAGAGAUUUCGUUCGUAUAGUUGCAAUAUGUACGUUCCCAUUGCUAUCAAUUGACUGAAGUUAUCUUUAUAAGAUAAAAUAAUAACGAUUUGUCGUUCUCAAUGCAAGUAGAGAAUCGCAUCGUAUUUACAGGUAAAAGCAAAUAAAAAAAAAUAAAGCUAUCGUCAAAUGAUUCAUAUAUGCUCUUUUAGAAUUUCAAGAGCAAUCGUUUUUAUUUUUUCUUUUCCAAUAUAUAUAAAUCCAACAUGAUUAUACUAUAAUAUAGUAUACGUAUUCGUAUCGUUAUUGUACCGUGCAAUUCGAAUGAUAUUUGACGAGUUAUAUCUGAUAUAAAUAUAUUCGUCAAGACGCGACAAUAGUAACACUAAUUAAACAUAUAUAUUCGAGCAUCGAAGAAAUAUAUAAGUAUACAUAUUGACAGACUCUUUCUAUGGUUUUUCGAGCGUGAAUAUAAUAGAGGAGAAGGUUGUAACAGAAGAAAGAAUUUAUAUAGAUUAUUAUAUCUGUACUUUAUUGUGUCAUAGUAGACGUGUUUCUUGCGGCCACGUCCAUCGAUGGAAUAAACAUUGACGUAAAUAAAUAAAACAGAUAUAGAAAAUAUAAUGGUACUUUGGUAAA